GGCUGGUCUGAUGGUAGUGGGUUAUCAGAACUUAUUAACAUUAGUGUCACUAAAGUUGGUCUGUAACCCCCCACUGCUAAAUUUGACUGGCUUUGA
This 96-nucleotide Y RNA is filed under the name Prolemur simus (greater bamboo lemur). RNAcentral's name for it is "Y RNA (ENSPSMG00000020585.1)". It matches the Rfam family "Y RNA". From Rfam's summary of the family: Y RNAs are components of the Ro ribonucleoprotein particle (Ro RNP), in association with Ro60 and La proteins. The Y RNAs and Ro60 and La proteins are well conserved, but the function of the Ro RNP is not known. In humans the RNA component can be one of four small RNAs -- hY1, hY3, hY4 and hY5. The record is from Rfam by way of RNAcentral. Lineage: Eukaryota; Metazoa; Chordata; Mammalia; Primates; Lemuridae.